CCAGUCCUUGACAGGUCAGCGCUCUCAGAGUAAGAAGUUCGCCUAUAGAACACAAAGAGGAUUUCGUUAUAUCCUUCUUUAUUCCUCUUUUCUCAAUCUCUCUUUUCUCUGUCUCACUCUCUCUCUCUUUCUCCAUCAUCUCAUUGUCUGUCUGGAUCAACUCCUCUCUCACACACACACACUUCCCCUUCUCUCUCUCACACACACACGUCCCCUUCUCUUUCACGGACACAAUCUCCUGGCCACACAGUGCCAGCCCCUUCUGACCCGUCUGGCUAACGGAGUGAGAUAGCAUCUUUUUUCGGCUCGACUUGGUGGAAGAGGCUUUAGAAACGGCAACUUCUCAUCUUCUGGAAGGUUCUUAAUCUCACCGAACACACAGGGUGUCAAUUACCAAACCCUCUUCUUUUAACACCGGGGAGCCUUCAAAAGGCUCAGUCACAGUCAGACGUAUUAUCAUAUCAGAGCUAUAUUGCUUAACAUAAUGCCCCCUUGAGAAGAAUGUUACUUUGGUCGUAAAUCAAUUAAGAGACUACUGUCAGCGAAGUCGGCGGGCAGUUAUUACAUUGAGUGUGAGGCACAUGGCUUUGCCAUAGCUUUGGUGACGGUAACGUCUCUGACAGGGAAAAUUACACCUUUGAGACAGCCAUUUGUCACUGGUUUCCUUCUGGGGCACUUAAAGAUGCCACAUUGGGAAGAGAGAUAUAAAAUGGUGGAGAUUGAGCUGUGUUUUCAUCCGAGGAGAACCCCUGUGUCAGCUCUCUACACCCCCGCCCUGUUGAGGCCAUGCGACAAAGCAGUCAUAACCCACCCUGACAUGCACACACAAACACACAGACACACACACACACACACACACACACACACACACAGAUUUACUGCAUCUUUGGCUGCUCUUUUCUAAAGAUUCAUUUCGCUGCAAAACACCAAACCCCAGCAGUUGAAAAGGCCACUCAUUUACAGUAAGCCCCUCCGCAACCAACCCACAGAGGAAGCAUAGAGACAGAUACAGAGUGUGUGAGAGACAAGAGAGAGAGGGAGAGACAGAAAGAGGGAGAGAAAAGAGAGAGAGAGGAGGAAGAUAGAGUGAGUAAUGGUGCAAAAAAAAAUAGCCAGAGGAAGGAUGUGACAGAUAGAGAGAUGGGUCGAGGAGGCACGGAGUGAAAGGUUGUGAGGAAUGAGAGCAUGUGUGAAGUUGGGGAGGAAAAAUGGUGCUGGAGCAGCGGUGAAAGGUGGUGGAGCACCGGUGAAAGGUGGGAAAUCGAUAAGAGCCGGAGUGAAGACAGAAGAGGAGGAAAAGGCAGAAACAUGAGAAGGACGAAGAGAGGAGAAAGCAGGAGAGUCAGGAGGCAGGAACAGGAGGCAGGAACAGACCCAAACACGUCAGCCAAGCAGGAGAGACACAGACAAAUGGGCAGCCUGAUAGACAUCAAGAUACAUAGAUAGAUAGAUAGAUAAUCAUCAAAAUACAUAGAUAGAUAGAUAGAUAGAUAGAUAGAUAGAUAGAUAGAUACAUAAAUAGAUAGAUAGAUAGAUAGAUAGGUAGAUAGAUAGAUAGAUAGAUAGAUAGAUAGAUAGAUAGAUAGAUAGACAGACAGACAGACAGACAGACAGAGAGACACAGACAAAUGGGCAGCCUGAUAGACAUCAAGAUACAUAGAUAGAUAAUCAUCAAAAUACAUAGAUAGAUAGAUAGAUAGAUAGAUAGAUAGAUAUAUACAUAAAUAGAUAGAUAGAUAGAUAGAUAGAUAGAUAGAUAGAUAGAUAGAUAGAUAGACAUCAAGAUACAUAGAUAGAUGGAUAGAUAGAUAGAUAGAUAGAUAAAUAGAUAGAUAGAUAGAUAAAUAAAUAGAUAGAUAGAUAGAUAGAUAGGUAGAUAGAUAGACAGACAGAUAGAUAGAUAGGGAAAUGAGUGAGUGACAUAUACAUAGAUAGAUAGAUAGACAGACAGACAGAUAGAUAGAUAGAUAGACAGAUAAAUAGAUACAUAGAUAGAUAGAUAGAUACAUAGACAGAUAUAUAGAUAGACAGAAAGACAGACAGACAGACAGACAGAUAGAUAGAUAGACAGAAAGACAGACAGAUAGACAGAUAGAUAGACAGACAGAUAGAUAGAUAGAUAGAUAGACAGACAGACAGACAGACAGACAGACAGACAGACAGACAGACAGACAGACAGACAGAUAGAUAGACAGAUACAAAUAUACAUAGAUAGAUAUAUAUAUACAUAGACAGAUAGACAGAUAGAUAGAUAGACAGAUACAAAUAUACAUAGAUAGAUAUAUAUAUACAUAGACAGAUAGACAGAUAGAUAGAUAGACAGACAGAUAGAUAGAUAGGGAAAUGAGUGAGUGACUGCUCCAGCAUGGUGGUUGGCCUGGCGCAAGCGUCUCAUUACGGGGCUCCCAGCAGCAGCUCUGUGUCAGUGUGUGUGUGUGUGUGUGUGUGUGCCAGUGUGUGUGUGUGUGUGUGUGUCAGUGUGUGUGUGUGUGUGUGUGUGUGUGUGUGUGUGUGUGUGUGUCAGUGUGUGUGUGUGUCAGUGUGUGUGUGUGUGUGUGUGUGUGUGUGUGUGUCUGUGUCAGUGUGCCACGGCUGACUCCGCAGCCUCGCGCCCCACGCUGUGCCAUGACUGCUUGAGCCAAUUAGGAACCCUUGGCACAGCUCAUCCUCUCCCCACGUCCACCCAGUGCGGGCUGGCAUGGAGACGUGCUGGGCGUCUCUGAUCGGAAUUUUAAAAGGAUUCGUUUCAGCUCACCGCUGCCACCAUCCUGCCACAAAACCCCCACGCCCCAACACACACACACACACACACACAUCACAUGCUGUGCUUAUGGAACCAUGUGUGUUCAAAUCUAUCUUAGGAGCAUGCUGAAUACAAUGCAUUGAUCUCUCACUUUCUACAGUGCUGUGUUUGUGCCAAGAAAACUGCAGGAUGUGAGUUGAAGACAUGAGAGGAGAGAAGAUGAGAGAAAGGCAGUGAGAGGAGAGGAGAGGAGAGGAGAGGAGAGGAGUGGAGAGGGGAGGGGAGGGGAGGAGAGGAGAGGAGAGGGGAGG
This is a long non-coding RNA of Clupea harengus (Atlantic herring), 3054 nucleotides long. The record is from Ensembl. Lineage: Eukaryota; Metazoa; Chordata; Actinopteri; Clupeiformes; Clupeidae.